AGUGAACGCUGGCGGUAGGCCUAACACAUGCAAGUCGAACGGCAGCACAGUAAGAGCUUGCUCUUACGGGUGGCGAGUGGCGGACGGGUGAGGAAUACAUCGGAAUCUACUUUUUCGUGGGGGAUAACGUAGGGAAACUUACGCUAAUACCGCAUACGACCUACGGGUGAAAGCAGGGGAUCUUCGGACCUUGCGCGAUUGAAUGAGCCGAUGUCGGAUUAGCUAGUUGGCGGGGUAAAGGCCCACCAAGGCGACGAUCCGUAGCUGGUCUGAGAGGAUGAUCAGCCACACUGGAAGUGAGACACGGUCCAGACUCCUGCGGGAGGCAGCAGUGGGGAAUAUUAGGCAGUGGGCGCAAGCCUGAUCCAGCCAUACCGCGUGGGUGAAGAAGGCCUUCGGGUUGUAAAGCCCUUUUGUUGGGAAAGAAAAGCAGCAGGUUAAUACCCCGCUGUUCUGACGGUACCCAAAGAAUAAGCACCGGCUAACUUCGUG
This 492-nucleotide ribosomal RNA is filed under the name uncultured bacterium. RNAcentral's name for it is "partial 16S ribosomal RNA". It matches the Rfam family "Bacterial small subunit ribosomal RNA", at positions 29 to 507 of the family's 1533-position model. The record is from RNAcentral.